This 79-nucleotide ribosomal RNA is filed under the name uncultured Fusobacterium sp. RNAcentral's name for it is "partial 16S ribosomal RNA". The record is from RNAcentral. Lineage: Bacteria; Fusobacteriati; Fusobacteriota; Fusobacteriia; Fusobacteriales; Fusobacteriaceae.
AGCGUUUGACAUCCUACAAAGAGUGCAGAGAUGUGCUUGUGCUUCUUCGGAAGAAUGUAGUGACAGGUGGUGCAUGGCU